GUAAGCAUCCAGUAUCUCUUCAUUGCAGUAGUAAACUUGUUACAACUCUUCGCGUGAUUAAGCAGACAGAAGUCGAUUAUCCAUACGCAUUUUGGUACAUUAAUUCGCAGAAUUGUACUACUUUAUCAUUUUUUAAAUUGUACAUAAUCGGAAGAUUACAUAAUAAAGACUAAAUACUACGUAUUACAAUCCAGCAUUGAAAACAUUGGAGUAUCUGAGAAAAUGUCACAUUGUGUGUUACGACGAUUCAGAAGUGUGAAAUUUGAAAGUCACAAUAAGAAAACGCGUCGAAUCCGUGACGCAACGCAUUUUCAUUAUACGAUCUUUCGAUCUCAUCACAGAAAGAUUAUUAUAAAAACCAUCAAAUUCCAAGCGAUGCAAUUAAAAUGAAGCUAAUCUUUCUACUGUUAUUAUUAGUCAGUUCCUCUUGUUGCGUACCUUGGCUCGAUUUAUGGUUUCCUCGACAAUCCUCAUACGACAAUCAAAAUACCGGAUACUAUCCAAACGGAGAAGAUGCUUCGUAUCAACAAUAUCGUCAAGGCAGAGGCGGUAAAGAACGUUGGAAGCAGAUCUGCAGGACGAUAAAUCCCGAUUCAUAUGCAUUUCCAGGACGCGUGCCUUAUCCUGCCGCACCUGUUUGUCCCUGGUAAAAGAAACUUUCGAUCAAACUUCCAAUCUGUCGUGCCAAACAAGAACUCGUAGCAUGCGUUAAAAAUAUGAUUUAUUAUAACAACCUAUAUCAUUUUGGACAAUAUACAUCCAGUGAUUAUGAGUAUUUCAGUCGGUAUGUUUAUAUGUGUAUUUGUUUAUGUGUGUGUGAUAAUGCAAAAUAGUAUACAUAAAUAUAUUGACGCAAUUACACAUAGUUACUUACUGUAACGUGUUCAGCAUGUAAAGUAUGAAGCGAGGAAACAAUUGUCUUGCAUCUUCGUACAGAAAUCUUAUUAUACUUCGUUUCUUAGUCUGCAUUCAUACUUGUGUUGAAUUAAAAAGAGAAAAAGCGCACUACAAACGUCAGAAUAAAAAAUUGAGCAAUAUGUGAAAAUACAA
Molecule: long non-coding RNA, 1050 nt
Organism: Nylanderia fulva
Lineage: Eukaryota; Metazoa; Arthropoda; Insecta; Hymenoptera; Formicidae
Source: RefSeq, a predicted model, not a curated record